Non-coding RNA from Podarcis raffonei (Aeolian wall lizard), 73 nucleotides. Lineage: Eukaryota; Metazoa; Chordata; Lepidosauria; Squamata; Lacertidae. The record is from the annotation of a RefSeq genome assembly.
GCUGGGAUAGCUCAGUUGGCAGAGCACGAGACUCUGAAUCUCAGGGCUGUGGGUUCCAGCCCCACUCUGGACA